RNAcentral lists this ribosomal RNA (406 nucleotides) under uncultured bacterium. RNAcentral's name for it is "partial 16S ribosomal RNA". It matches the Rfam family "Bacterial small subunit ribosomal RNA", at positions 30 to 526 of the family's 1533-position model. The record is from RNAcentral.
AUUGAACGCUGGCGGCAGGCCUAACACAUGCAAGUCGAGCGAGCGGCGGACGGGUGCGGAAUACAUCGGAAUCUACUCUGUCGUGGGGGAUAACGUAGGGAAACUUACGCUAAUACCGCAUACGAUUGAAUGAGCCGAUGGCGGAGUAGCUAGUUGGCGGGGUAAAGGCCCACCAAGGCGACGAUCCGUAGCUGGUCUGAGAGGAUGAUCAGCCACACUGGAACUGAGACACGGUCCAGACUCCUACGGGAGGCAGCAGUGGGGAAUAUUGGACAAUGGGCGCAAGCCUGAGCCAGCCAUGCCGCGUGGGUGAAGAAGGCCUUCGGGUUGUAAAGCCCUUUUGUUGGGGAAGCGUUACCCAAAGAAUAAGCACCGGCUAACUUCGUGCCAGCAGCCGCGGUAAUUC